RNAcentral lists this transfer RNA (87 nucleotides) under Candidatus Onthovivens merdipullorum. RNAcentral describes it as "tRNA-Leu". It matches the Rfam family "tRNA". From Rfam's summary of the family: Transfer RNA (tRNA) molecules are approximately 80 nucleotides in length. The record is from RNAcentral. Lineage: Bacteria; Bacillati; Bacillota; Bacilli; Caryophanales.
GCUUCCAUGGUGAAAUUGGUAGACACGAUGGACUCAAAAUCCAUUGGUAGCGAUACUGUGUCGGUUCGAGUCCGACUGGAAGCACCA